This 1347-nucleotide long non-coding RNA is filed under the name Sus scrofa (pig). Its description in RNAcentral is "lncRNA (ENSSSCG00070024064.1)". Lineage: Eukaryota; Metazoa; Chordata; Mammalia; Artiodactyla; Suidae. The record is from RNAcentral.
GUUUAUUGAUGCUUAGUUGAUCCUGUUCCACAAGUCACUUUUCAAAAUAUUUACUUUGUUUUGCUUUACAGAUUAUUUCUGUGGUCUUGUCAAAGUUUGUAGCAAUAUAUUACUAUUAUCCAUCUCUAUGAUACCAUAAUGCAUUUUUAUAAUCAGCAUCACUUUCUGAGUAGAAAACUGAACUUUUUGGUGACUUUCUCUGAAAAUUGAUUAAUAUUCUUCAGCUAGGAACAUGGCCCUUUCCAAUAGAACAUAUUGAGACUUUAAUGGAUUUUGAGGAGUAUGGUGAUGUAUCAUGGAUCAUAUGUGAUUAGAAGCAAAAAGGAAAAGAGGAGGAGUUCCCGUCGUGGCGUAGUGGUUAACGAAUCCGACUAGGAACCAUGAGGUUGCGGGUUCGGUCCCUGCCCUUGCUCAGUGGGUUACCGAUCUGGCGUUGCUGUGAGCUGUGGUGUAGGUUGCAGACGCGGCUUGGAUCCCGCGUUGCUGUGGCUCUGGCGUAGGCUAGUGGCUACAGCUCCGAUUCAACCCCUAGCCUGGGAAGCUCCAUAUGCCGCGGGAGUGGCCAAGAAAUAGCAACAACAACAACAAUAACAACAAACAACAAAAAAAAAAAAAAAAAAAAAGGAAAAGAAACUGUUGAUGCCUUGGUUUCUUUAACAGUCUCUUAGUGUUGGCAUAAAUUCCUACAGACCAUCCACUCAUCUUUGGCUGUUUUGAUAGGAUAAUCUGAGUAUGUUUCCCGAUGAAAAGAUACUUUGCUGCCUGGAUUGUUCUGUGAUAAGCACUCUUAAAGAUCAUAUUCAGUGAAUUGCAAACUUCUCAGAAGGAGAAGGUAGAUGAAGAAAAGCCACAAAGACAUUAUAAAAGAAGAUCCUGAGGACCUGGGGGAGGAGUGGUCCAGCCUCAGGUCAGUCGUGGCCGCUCCUUCUGCCACCAUGGUCCUUGUAGAUGAGGUAACUGAUGAAAAUGAUACUUAUACAGAAAUUAUCACUCCAGUGACGAACAAUCAGGAUGAAGAAGAAGGUGGGUCUUCCUUGCUGGCAUUGGUUGGAGAGCAGCCAGACCCAGGGUUCCUUUUGAAAAGAGGAUUGGGGUGUGCUAGAGCAUGUAGCUCUUUCCCAGUCAUAGUGAUGCCCAAGUACGUACAUGCCCUGGAUGCAAGUCUAUCCUGUAGAUUGUGCUUUGUGGUAAGAUAUGAGACAUGGGAAGCAAGGUCCAUAUGUGAGCACAUGUGGUGUGAGUAUAUGUUUCCUCAGGACCUAUUGUCUGUUUCCACCACAAAUAGGCCUGGCAACUUUCAUGGAAGACAAAUACCACCCCCUCUGCUCAGCUGCUCUGCAUUCAUUC